GUAGCUAGUCACAAUCGUAGCCAAUCCGACAAGUGCGUUUACUGCAUGGUUCGCUGAAAGCUUCGCAAUGCCGAGUGUUUUUAAUCAAUUCUAACUUGUUGAUUUGCUUAGAAAAUGAUGUACUCUAUGCUAAAAGUGGCGAGACGGUGCUUUUGUUGCACAGCAGUAAGGUUUUCUUUAAAUGGCGUUGGUGCACGGUCAUUAAAAGUUGCGACUCCAAAAGUCAAAAGCCAACGCAGUCCCUACGUUCUUGCGUUUAUUGGAGUUGCCGUCUCGGCCCCCCUUUUAUGGUACCAAACCCUGAGUACCCCUGACAAACGCUUUGUUCGGACCUCUCUUGGAGGACUUGUCAGAUUUGCAAAGACAUUAAAAAUUGGUCUUACAAUAUCUUGCGACUACUCGUACAGUGCAAUGGGAUAUACUGAGGGAACUGAGGAUUACAAGGCCAUGAUGAAGCGCUGUCACCAGCGCAAUGCUGAGCGAAUUCUCAAGGGUUGCCUUGAGAAUGGUGGCCUAUACAUCAAGCUCGGACAAAGUCUGGUUGCUCUUAAUCACCUUUUGCCACGAGAAUACCUUGACACCUUAGAAGUGCUUCAUGACCAUGCAUUGGUGCGCAGCAAAGAUGAGAUCAGUGAACUGUUUAGGGAGGACUUUGGUUGCUUGCCUGAAGAAAUGUUCAAGGAGUUCAACCGCACACCGAUUGCAGCUGCCAGCCUAGCUCAAGUUUUCAAGGCAAAGACUACCGAAGGAAAAGAUGUUGCUGUAAAAGUGCAGUACAUUGAUUUACAGGAACGAUUUAGUGGAGACCUGCACGGUAUUGGCAUCUUGGUGAAUAUCGUCAGUUGGAUGCACCCUGAUUUCAACUUUGCUUGGAUCCUUGAUUAUCUUAGGUCAUGCUUGGUAAAGGAGUUGGACUUCCUGCAUGAAGCUGGCAACAUGGAGCGUUGUGCCCGAGAUCUCGCCCACCUCCCCUACGUUUCAGUUCCUGGAGUUCACUGGAGCAAGACAAGUAAAAGAGUACUCACUAUGGAUUUUGUCAAUGGAGUCAAGAUAAGUGAUGUCAAGGGAAUUAAAAAGCUUGGUCUUGACCUUGCUGAUGUUGACCAAAAGAUGGUGGCAGCAUUUGCUGAGCAGAUAUUUCACACUGGCUUUGUCCAUGCAGACCCGCAUCCUGGCAAUGUGUUUGUUGAGAAAGGAAAAGAUGGAAAAGCAAAAAUAGUUCUUUUGGAUCAUGGGCUAUAUGAGUGCAUCUCUAAGGAAAACAGACUUUCUCUUUGUCAAUUGUGGAAUGCCAUCAUAAUGAAUGAUCGUAUUGGAAUGAAGACACACUCUCUUGAGUUGGGCGUUGCAAAGCUAGUUGCAUCUUUCUGCUUUAGAUUACCCCAUCUUCUGCGAGAUCCUGAUGCAACGACCUCUGCAGCGACAAACCUUUCGCUUGCGCAAUCAGCUGUCCAGUGAAGACGUGGCCUACAUGCGCACCAUGGUGCAGAAUCACUUUGAUGAGGUCAUGGACUGCAUUCGCAGCCUCCCUAGGCCCAUGCUGCUCAUAUUCAGGAACAUAAAUACUGUGCGCUCGAUCACAAAAAACCAUGGGCAUCCUGUUGAUCGCUUUACUUUGAUGGCUCGCAUUGCCACUCGGCGGCUGACCUUGAAUCUGGAACAUGCCAGCUUGCUGAUCAUACUGCACCACUGGUGGAAUUGC
This 1702-nucleotide unclassified non-coding RNA is filed under the name Dermacentor andersoni. Its description in RNAcentral is "uncharacterized aarF domain-containing protein kinase 5-like". The record is from RNAcentral. Lineage: Eukaryota; Metazoa; Arthropoda; Arachnida; Ixodida; Ixodidae.